This 270-nucleotide ribosomal RNA is filed under the name Vibrio sp. HR11-39. Its description in RNAcentral is "partial 16S ribosomal RNA". It matches the Rfam family "Bacterial small subunit ribosomal RNA", at positions 1175 to 1447 of the family's 1533-position model. Lineage: Bacteria; Pseudomonadati; Pseudomonadota; Gammaproteobacteria; Vibrionales; Vibrionaceae. The record is from RNAcentral.
GGGGACGACGUCAAGUCAUCAUGGCCCUUACGAGUAGGGCUACACACGUGCUACAAUGGCGCAUACAGAGGGCGGCCAACCAGCGAUGGUGAGCGAAUCCCAAAAAGUGCGUCGUAGUCCGGAUUGGAGUCUGCAACUCGACUCCAUGAAGUCGGAAUCGCUAGUAAUCGUGAAUCAGAAUGUCACGGUGAAUACGUUCCCGGGCCUUGUACACACCGNNCNUCACACCAUGGGAGUGGGCUGCAAAAGAAGUGGGUAGUUAACCUCGGA